GCCUCGGUAGUGUAAUGGAUCAGCCCAACAGACCCGAUAUCUGUAAGUGCGGGUUCGAGUCCCACCUGAGGUU
This is a non-coding RNA of Dictyocaulus viviparus (bovine lungworm), 73 nucleotides long. NCBI's taxonomy places the organism in Eukaryota, Metazoa, Nematoda, Chromadorea, Rhabditida, Metastrongylidae. The record is from Rfam.